Colossoma macropomum (tambaqui) is the source of this 444-nucleotide long non-coding RNA. RefSeq lists it as uncharacterized. NCBI's taxonomy places the organism in Eukaryota, Metazoa, Chordata, Actinopteri, Characiformes, Serrasalmidae. The transcript is spliced from 3 exons. The record is from RefSeq and is a predicted model, not a curated record.
UACUCCGGCGUGGUCGCUCACUCGCAGACCGGCCGGUGUGUGAGAGUGUGGGCAGAAAUGUGACUGCGGGCGUCUUUCACUGCAUUUCAUCACUGACAACAGCUGAAGAUGAUGCGAAGAGCAAGAAUCAGUGUUAAGCCUAACUUCAGGCCUGGAGGUCGAAGCCUUCCAGCUGGACAGCAGCCCUCACAAACUCCUGCAGAUGGAAACAACACCCCGCCCACAGUCACAGCUGAAGAAGCGGUCAGACCAUCACCCUCUCCCCAGCGAAAGCCACCAGUGGAAGAGCCUGCAGAGGCAGUGGGUGUUGAAAAUGCCCCCAACUCGCCUUCAGAGAAAACCUCAGCUGAUGUAAAUAAUGGAGCACGCUCAAGCUGCACCACCACCCCAGCGGCUGUUCCACAGAGAAGGGUGAGGGUCUCGGCCACCCCAAAACUUGUUGGU